RNAcentral lists this ribosomal RNA (253 nucleotides) under uncultured bacterium. RNAcentral's name for it is "partial 16S ribosomal RNA". It matches the Rfam family "Bacterial small subunit ribosomal RNA", at positions 524 to 776 of the family's 1533-position model. The record is from RNAcentral.
GACGAACCGUGCGAACGUUGUUCGGAAUCACUGGGUUUAAAGGGCGCGUAGGCGGGCUGUCAAGUCGGUGGUGAAAUCGUUCCGCUCAACGGGACAAUGGCCUUCGAUACUGGCGGCCUGGAGGGAGGUAGGGGCAUGCGGAACUCCCGGUGGAGCGGUGAAAUGCGUAGAUAUCGGAAGGAACACCGAUGGCGAAAGCAGCGUGCUGGACCUUUUCUGACGCUGAGGCGCGAAAGCCAGGGGAGCAAACGGG